This is a non-coding RNA of Struthio camelus australis, 66 nucleotides long. The record is from Rfam. NCBI's taxonomy places the organism in Eukaryota, Metazoa, Chordata, Aves, Struthioniformes, Struthionidae.
GAUUUGGCUGUUGUGGUGUGCAAAACUUUGUACAUUGCUUUUUGCCACACUGCAACACUUUACAGA